UUUUUAUAUAUUGCAAAUUUCGUAGUCCAAAUGAAUGUACAACAAACAUCUGUUUUAAAAUAAAUAAUUUUACUGUUGGUUCUAAUAACUUUGUGUGUGUGUGACAGGUGUAAAAGUAUUCAGGAACCCACUUCUUCACGUAUUAUGUGCGGUAGAGAACUGAGUAGCAGCUGAAAAAAAUAGGAAAUUAAUAAUAAAUAAUAUUAUAAAAUAAAAGAAAGAGAAAGAAUUAUUUUCAUUUUAUUGAGACCUGAUGAAACAAAUAAACAACAAAGUUAUACCCCGAACGGUCUAGUUUAAAGUGAAACCUCAUAAUCGUAUCGGAUAACUAAUGUUAAAUGCCAUUUUAUAUGCAGGAAUUAAAAUCGCAGUGGUUUUAUGUCCUGGGAAUUAUUAAUUAUUUAAUAGAAUUUCUUAGCAGCCUACACGGUCGGGCCAUUUGAAUAAUGAAGCUAUUCCGAAUACUAAAAUAAGCAAUACAUAGUUACAUUUAGUGUUGUCGUUGCAGAUAUUAUUUGUGCAUUCGUCGUUAUUUACGACCGUUUUCAAUAACGCCGCAGUAUAUUAGCGAAAUGGUGCUUUAGCUGUGCCACUAAGGCCUUAUAGCGUCCGAUAAAAUAGCGAACCGGAUGAUUAUGUGGCAAAAGCAUGACACAUUUAUGUUCAUUCGCGAGACUUUUCAUUUAUGACUAUUUAUUAUGGGUGUAUUUUAAGGAAAGCCGUCCCGAAGUGAACGGAAUUAACUGAUGCUUUUAGAAGUAGUCACUAUCAUUUUAUUAAAGGAAGCUCUAGUAGCAAAGCCACUAUUUUUAUUAUCUAAUAAUUUACUAUUAUUUUUUAAGGGAGACCAGGAAUAGGAAAUAACUUGAAUCCAAAUUGUCUACUAAUGCAGGAUAAUGCACAACCACAUACAGACCAUGUCCUCCGAAAUUAUCUUGCUGACGUUAGGAUUAAUGCUAGUGCCUGGUCAGCUCACAGUACAGACCUUAAAUCAAUAGAACAUAUCUGAGACAUCAUUAGGAGACGUUUAAGGGCAUAUAAAAGAAGAUGUGGAGCGUUUUCUACACCAAAUUUGAGAGAAUUUGUUCAGAAAUGAAGUUUGAACUCAGAUUUUGAGUAUGAACAGAAGAUGUGAGGCUGUCAUUCGUAGUAGAGGUGGAAAUACCCCAUAUUAUUAUCGAUAAAAACUUAUUUUUAAAUAAAUAUACAAAGAGUG
Aethina tumida (small hive beetle) is the source of this 1216-nucleotide long non-coding RNA. RefSeq lists it as uncharacterized. The transcript is spliced from 2 exons. NCBI's taxonomy places the organism in Eukaryota, Metazoa, Arthropoda, Insecta, Coleoptera, Nitidulidae. The record is from RefSeq and is a predicted model, not a curated record.